UAGGGAAUCUUCGGCAAUGGACGAAAGCCUGACCGAGCAACGCCGCGUGAGUGAAGAAGGCUUUCGGAUCGUAAAACUCUGUUGUUAGAGAAGAACAAGGACGUUAGUAACUGAACGUCCCCUGACGGUAUCUAACCAGAAAGCCACGGCUAACUACGUGCCAGCAGCCGCGGUAAUACGUAGGUGGCAAGCGUUGUCCGGAUUUAUUGGGCGUAAAGCGAGCGCAGGCGGUUUCUUAAGUCUGAUGUGAAAGCCUCCGGCUCAACCGGAGAGGGUCAUUGGAAACUGGGAGACUUGAGUGCAGAAGAGGAGAGUGGAAUUCCAUGUGUAGCGGUGAAAUGCGUAGAUAUAUGGAGGAACACCAGUGGCGAAGGCGGCUCUCUGGUCUGUAACUGACGCUGAGGCUCGAAAGCGUGGGGAGCAAACAGG
This 429-nucleotide ribosomal RNA is filed under the name Gemmatimonadota bacterium. RNAcentral describes it as "Gemmatimonadetes bacterium partial 16S ribosomal RNA". It matches the Rfam family "Bacterial small subunit ribosomal RNA", at positions 355 to 776 of the family's 1533-position model. The record is from RNAcentral. Lineage: Bacteria; Pseudomonadati; Gemmatimonadota.